AUACGUAGGGUGCGAGCGUUGUCCGGAAUUACUGGGCGUAAAGAGCUCGUAGGUGGUUUGUCGCGUCGUCUGUGAAAUUCCGGGGCUUAACUCCGGGCGUGCAGGCGAUACGGGCAUAACUUGAGUACUGUAGGGGAGACUGGAAUUCCUGGUGUAGCGGUGAAAUGCGCAGAUAUCAGGAGGAACACCGGUGGCGAAGGCGGGUUUCUGGGCAGUAACUGACGUUGAGGAGCGAAAGCAUGGGUAGCGAACAGGAUUAGAUCCCCUGGUAGUCCAUGCCGUAAACGGUGGGCGCUAGGUGUAGGGGUCUUCCACGACUUCUGUGCCGUAGCUAACGCAUUAAGCGCCCCGCCUGGGGAGUACGGCCGCAAGGCUAAAACUCAAAGGAAUUGACGGGG
This 398-nucleotide ribosomal RNA is filed under the name uncultured bacterium. Its description in RNAcentral is "partial 16S ribosomal RNA". It matches the Rfam family "Bacterial small subunit ribosomal RNA", at positions 523 to 918 of the family's 1533-position model. The record is from RNAcentral.